CCCUUAGAUGUUCUGGGCUGCACGCGUGUUACAAUCGGGAGUACAACAAGAUUGCAAAUCCUAGUGGAUGAGUGGUUCUUCGAAAUUUUCUGAAGACUGGGAUAGUUGAUUGAAAUUAUUCAACUCAAACGAGGAAUUCCUUGUAAUUGUAAUUCAUUAUAUUGUAAUGAAUACGUCCCUGCCCUUUGUACACACCGCCCGUCGCUCCUACCGAUUGAACGAUCCGGUGAAUUAUUUGGAGUAGCUCUGGAAGUUGCAGAACUUCCUAUGUCACGAAAUUUCGUAAACCUUAUCGUUUAGAGGAAGGAAAAGUCGUAACA
This 320-nucleotide ribosomal RNA is filed under the name uncultured eukaryote. RNAcentral's name for it is "partial 18S ribosomal RNA". It matches the Rfam family "Eukaryotic small subunit ribosomal RNA", at positions 1470 to 1796 of the family's 1831-position model. The record is from RNAcentral.